This is a small nuclear RNA of Vigna unguiculata (cowpea), 164 nucleotides long. The record is from RefSeq and is a predicted model, not a curated record. Lineage: Eukaryota; Viridiplantae; Streptophyta; Magnoliopsida; Fabales; Fabaceae.
AUACUUACCUGGACGGGGUCAAUAGAUGAUCAUGAAGGUUUAUGGCCUAGGGUAGUGACUUUCAUUGCACUUGGAAGGGGUGCUCCUCUAAGGUCUGUCCCAGUGACAGAGCCUACGUCAUAAUUUGUGUUUGGAAUCUAAUUUCAUAUUUUUGGUUGAGAUGU